UUAGGAAUAUUCGUCAAUGGGGGAAACCCUGAACGAGCAAUGCCGCGUGAAGGAUGACGGUCCUAUGGAUUGUAAACUUCUGUUGUUAGGGAAGAACGACCUAAGUAGGAAAUGACUUAGGAGUGACGGUACCUUUCAAGAAAGCUCCGGCUAACUACGUGCCAGCAGCCGCGGUAAUACGUAGGGAGCGAGCGUUAUCCGGAUUUAUUGGGUGUAAAGGGUGCGUAGGCGGCUUCUUAAGUCUGUAGUCUAAGCCCGGAGCUUAACUCCGGUUCGCUACAGAAACUGAUUAGCUUGAGUAUG
RNAcentral lists this ribosomal RNA (303 nucleotides) under uncultured bacterium. RNAcentral describes it as "bacterial SSU rRNA". It matches the Rfam family "Bacterial small subunit ribosomal RNA", at positions 355 to 650 of the family's 1533-position model. The record is from RNAcentral.